GAAGAGAUAGCUGAGUGGUCAAAAGCGAUAGACUGUAAAUCUAUUGAUAAUUUAUCUACACAGGUUCGAAUCCUGUUCUCUUCA
Molecule: transfer RNA, 84 nt
Filed under: Cyanidiococcus yangmingshanensis
Lineage: Eukaryota; Rhodophyta; Bangiophyceae; Cyanidiales; Cyanidiaceae
Description: tRNA-Tyr
Rfam family: tRNA
About the family: Transfer RNA (tRNA) molecules are approximately 80 nucleotides in length.
Source: RNAcentral